RNAcentral lists this ribosomal RNA (832 nucleotides) under uncultured Bacteroidota bacterium. RNAcentral's name for it is "bacterial SSU rRNA". It matches the Rfam family "Bacterial small subunit ribosomal RNA", at positions 60 to 893 of the family's 1533-position model. The record is from RNAcentral. Lineage: Bacteria; Pseudomonadati; Bacteroidota.
AGUCGAGGGGUACAUUGGUGCUUGCACCAGAUGACGACCGGCGCACGGGUGCGUAACGCGUAUAGAACCUACCUUUUACAGGGGAAUAGCCUUUAGAAAUGAAGAUUAAUGCCCCAUAGUAUUACGACUUGGCAUCAAGUUGUAUUUAAAGAUUUAUCGGUAAAAGAUGGCUAUGCGUCCUAUUAGUUAGUUGGUAAGGUAACGGCUUACCAAGACAUCGAUAGGUAGGGGUCCUGAGAGGGAGAUCCCCCACACUGGUACUGAGACACGGACCAGACUCCUACGGGAGGCAGCAGUGAGGAAUAUUGGACAAUGGAGGCAACUCUGAUCCAGCCAUGCCGCGUGCAGGAAGACGGCCCUAUGGGUUGUAAACUGCUUUUAUACAGGAAGAAACAUCCCGACGUGUCGGGACUUGACGGUACUGUAAGAAUAAGGACCGGCUAACUCCGUGCCAGCAGCCGCGGUAAUACGGAGGGUCCGAGCGUUAUCCGGAAUCAUUGGGUUUAAAGGGUCCGCAGGCGGUCAAUUAAGUCAGAGGUGAAAUCCCAUAGCUUAACUAUGGAACUGCCUUUGAUACUGGUUGACUUGAGUCAUAUGGAAGUAGAUAGAAUGUGUAGUGUAGCGGUGAAAUGCAUAGAUAUUACACAGAAUACCGAUUGCGAAGGCAGUCUACUACGUAUGUACUGACGCUCAUGGACGAAAGCGUGGGGAGCGAACAGGAUUAGAUACCCUGGUAGUCCACGCCGUANACGAUGGAUACUAGUUGUUGGGAUUUAUCUCAGUGACUAAGCGAAAGUGAUAAGUAUCCCACCUGGGGAGUACGGUCGCAAGA